UGGGGAAUAUUGCACAAUGGGCGAAAGCCUGAUGCAGCAACGCCGCGUGAGUGAUGAAGGCCUUCGGGUUGUAAAGCUCUGUCUUUUGGGACGAUAAUGACGGUACCAAAGGAGGAAGCCACGGCUAACUACGUGCCAGCAGCCGCGGUAAUACGUAGGUGGCGAGCGUUGUCCGGAUUUACUGGGCGUAAAGGAUGCGUAGGCGGAUAUUUAAGUGAGAUGUGAAAUACCCGGGCUUAACUUGGGUGCUGCAUUUCAAACUGGAUAUCUAGAGUGCGGGAGAGGAGAAUGGAAUUCCUAGUGUAGCGGUGAAAUGCGUAGAGAUUAGGAAGAACACCAGUGGCGAAGGCGAUUCUCUGGACCGUAACUGACGCUGAGGCAUGAAAGCGUGGGUAGCAAACA
RNAcentral lists this ribosomal RNA (402 nucleotides) under uncultured Eubacteriales bacterium. Its description in RNAcentral is "uncultured Clostridiales bacterium partial 16S ribosomal RNA". It matches the Rfam family "Bacterial small subunit ribosomal RNA", at positions 355 to 774 of the family's 1533-position model. Lineage: Bacteria; Bacillati; Bacillota; Clostridia; Eubacteriales. The record is from RNAcentral.